GCCUGACUGGCUCAGUCAGUAGAGCAUGUGACUCUUGAUCUCAGGGUUGUGAAUUCAAUCUCCACAUUGGGUG
This is a non-coding RNA of Canis lupus familiaris (dog), 73 nucleotides long. Lineage: Eukaryota; Metazoa; Chordata; Mammalia; Carnivora; Canidae. The record is from Rfam.